AUCUGAAGUCUGACGAGGAUGAGAACCUCCGGAGGCAAGAGGUUCGACCCGAGCGAAGCGAGAGAACGUUGCGUCAGCAACGGCCCGCAGGGCGAGCCACGCAGUGGCGAGUCAUCCUCUAUCACCGACCA
Molecule: small RNA, 131 nt
Filed under: Salmonella enterica
Lineage: Bacteria; Pseudomonadati; Pseudomonadota; Gammaproteobacteria; Enterobacterales; Enterobacteriaceae
Also listed under: 2 other names
Description: RtT sRNA
Rfam family: RtT RNA
About the family: This family represents a bacterial cis-regulatory element known as RtT RNA. The exact function of RtT is unknown although it is thought that it may be involved in changing the cellular response in relation to amino acid starvation.
Source: RNAcentral